RNAcentral lists this transfer RNA (74 nucleotides) under Lujinxingiaceae bacterium. RNAcentral describes it as "tRNA-Arg". It matches the Rfam family "tRNA". From Rfam's summary of the family: Transfer RNA (tRNA) molecules are approximately 80 nucleotides in length. Their secondary structure includes four short double-helical elements and three loops (D, anti-codon, and T loops). Further hydrogen bonds mediate the characteristic L-shaped molecular structure. tRNAs have two regions of fundamental functional importance: the anti-codon, which is responsible for specific mRNA codon recognition, and the 3' end, to which the tRNAs corresponding amino acid is attached (by aminoacyl-tRNA synthetases). tRNAs cope with the degeneracy of the genetic code in two manners: having more than one tRNA (with a specific anti-codon) for a particular amino acid; and 'wobble' base-pairing, i.e. permitting non-standard base-pairing at the 3rd anti-codon position. The record is from RNAcentral. Lineage: Bacteria; Deltaproteobacteria; Bradymonadales; Lujinxingiaceae.
GCGCGGGUAGCUCAGCUGGAUAGAGUGUUGGAUUCCGAAUCCAAAGGUCGCGGGUUCGAACCCCGCCCUGCGCA